RNAcentral lists this ribosomal RNA (254 nucleotides) under uncultured bacterium. RNAcentral describes it as "partial 16S ribosomal RNA". It matches the Rfam family "Bacterial small subunit ribosomal RNA", at positions 524 to 776 of the family's 1533-position model. The record is from RNAcentral.
AACGUAGGAGACAAACGUUAUCCGGAGUUACUGGGCGUAAAGGGCGUGUAGGUGGUUUCGUAAGUCUGGCGUGAAAUUUUUCGGCUUAACCGGGAAAGGUCGUCGGAUACUGCGGAGCUAGAGGACGGUAGAGGCGUGUGGAAUUCCGGGUGUAGUGGUGAAAUGCGCAGAUAUCAGGAGGAACAGCCGGUGGCGAAGGCGGCUCACUGGUCCGAUACUGACGCUGAGGUGCGAAAGCGUGGGGAGCAAACAGG